This 287-nucleotide ribosomal RNA is filed under the name Foraminifera sp. RNAcentral describes it as "partial small subunit ribosomal RNA". The record is from RNAcentral. Lineage: Eukaryota; Foraminifera.
AGUUCGUGGAGUGAUCUGUCUGCUUAAUUGCGUUUCGCAACGGUUAACUAUGACAGCUAUCAAUUGUGCACCAGUGUUGCGUUCGCCGGAGACUUUUUGUUUCUCGGUUUGUAGCGCCACUGGGAUAUUGCCACAGUUGUAGCGGGUUGGCCUGGAAAGCAACGAACGUGACCGCAGCCUCUUGUUGCCUCUUUUAAACGCGUCCUCCGUGACGCGCAAACAGAGUGCUAACUAGAGGGACCGCUCGACAUUUGUUAAAACAGAGGAAGGUUGCGGCAAUAACAGGU